This 253-nucleotide ribosomal RNA is filed under the name uncultured bacterium. RNAcentral describes it as "partial 16S ribosomal RNA". It matches the Rfam family "Bacterial small subunit ribosomal RNA", at positions 524 to 776 of the family's 1533-position model. The record is from RNAcentral.
UACGAAGGGGGCUAGCGUUGUUCGGAAUCACUGGGCGUAAAGCGCUCGUAGGCGGAUCCUUAAGUCAGAGGUGAAAUCCCAGGGCUCAACCCUGGAACUGCCUUUGAUACUGGGGAUCUCGAGUCCGGGAGAGGUGAGUGGAACUGCGAGUGUAGAGGUGAAAUUCGUAGAUAUUCGCAAGAACACCAGUGGCGAAGGCGGCUCACUGGCCCGGUACUGACACUGAGGUGCGAAAGCGUGGGGAGCAAACAGG